Molecule: ribosomal RNA, 1154 nt
Filed under: Acinetobacter soli
Lineage: Bacteria; Pseudomonadati; Pseudomonadota; Gammaproteobacteria; Moraxellales; Moraxellaceae
Description: bacterial SSU rRNA
Rfam family: Bacterial small subunit ribosomal RNA
Source: RNAcentral
UGAGUAAUGCUUAGGAAUCUGCCUAUUAGUGGGGGACAACAUCUCGAAAGGGAUGCUAAUACCGCAUACGUCCUACGGGAGAAAGCAGGGGAUCACUUGUGACCUUGCGCUAAUAGAUGAGCCUAAGUCGGAUUAGCUAGUUGGUGGGGUAAAGGCCUACCAAGGCGACGAUCUGUAGCGGGUCUGAGAGGAUGAUCCGCCACACUGGGACUGAGACACGGCCCAGACUCCUACGGGAGGCAGCAGUGGGGAAUAUUGGACAAUGGGGGGAACCCUGAUCCAGCCAUGCCGCGUGUGUGAAGAAGGCCUUAUGGUUGUAAAGCACUUUAAGCGAGGAGGAGGCUCUUUUGGUUAAUACCCAAGAUGAGUGGACGUUACUCGCAGAAUAAGCACCGGCUAACUCUGUGCCAGCAGCCGCGGUAAUACAGAGGGUGCAAGCGUUAAUCGGAUUUACUGGGCGUAAAGCGCGCGUAGGCGGCCAAUUAAGUCAAAUGUGAAAUCCCCGAGCUUAACUUGGGAAUUGCAUUCGAUACUGGUUGGCUAGAGUGUGGGAGAGGAUGGUAGAAUUCCAGGUGUAGCGGUGAAAUGCGUAGAGAUCUGGAGGAAUACCGAUGGCGAAGGCAGCCAUCUGGCCUAACACUGACGCUGAGGUGCGAAAGCAUGGGGAGCAAACAGGAUUAGAUACCCUGGUAGUCCAUGCCGUAAACGAUGUCUACUAGCCGUUGGGGCCUUUGAGGCUUUAGUGGCGCAGCUAACGCGAUAAGUAGACCGCCUGGGGAGUACGGUCGCAAGACUAAAACUCAAAUGAAUUGACGGGGGCCCGCACAAGCGGUGGAGCAUGUGGUUUAAUUCGAUGCAACGCGAAGAACCUUACCUGGCCUUGACAUAGUAGAAACUUUCCAGAGAUGGAUUGGUGCCUUCGGGAAUCUACAUACAGGUGCUGCAUGGCUGUCGUCAGCUCGUGUCGUGAGAUGUUGGGUUAAGUCCCGCAACGAGCGCAACCCUUUUCCUUACUUGCCAGCAUUUCGGAUGGGAACUUUAAGGAUACUGCCAGUGACAAACUGGAGGAAGGCGGGGACGACGUCAAGUCAUCAUGGCCCUUACGGCCAGGGCUACACACGUGCUACAAUGGUCGGUACAAAGGGUUGCUACCU